Molecule: ribosomal RNA, 465 nt
Filed under: uncultured bacterium
Lineage: Bacteria
Description: partial 16S ribosomal RNA
Rfam family: Bacterial small subunit ribosomal RNA
Source: RNAcentral
GACGAACGCUGGCGGCGUGCUUAACACAUGCAAGUCGAACGGAAAGGCCCCUUUGGGGGUACUCGAGUGGCGCACGGGUGAGUAACACGUGAGUAACCUGCCCUUGACUUCGGGAUAACUUCAGGAAACUGGGGCUAAUACCGGAUAGGAAUCCUUGCUGCCUGGUGGGGGUUGGAAAGCUUCGGCGGUUUUGGAUGGACUCGCGGCUUAUCAGCUUGUUGGUGGGGUAGUGGCUUACCAAGGCUUUGACGGGUAGCCGGCCUGAGAGGGCGACCGGCCACAUUGGGACUGAGAUACGGCCCAGACGCCUACGGGAGGCAGCAGGGGGGAAUAUUGCACAAUGGGCGGAAGCCUGAUGCAGCAACGCCGCGGGCGGGAUGACGGCCUUCGGGUUGUAAACCGCGUUCAGCAGGGGCGAAGCUUGUGGUGACGGUACCUGCAGAAGAAGCACCGGCUAACUACGUG